UAUCAACAGAUUGUAAGUGGAAAGUUCUGCGAGUGCACCAACUUCCUUUGCGAUCGUCACAAUGGACUACUGUGCUCAGGACCUGAUCAUGGUGAAUGUGUCUGCAAUGAAUGCAAAUGCAAGCCAGGUUGGACUGGAGAGGCCUGCAAUUGUGAAGACAGUGAAAGCAAUUGUGUAAACCCUGAUACUGGAGACAUUUGUUCAAACCAAGGAAAAUGUGAGUGCAACCAGUGCAAGUGUUAUGAGACAGCUGAUGGCAGAUAUUCAGGCAAAUGGUGUGAAGACUGUCCGACAUGCAAGGGCAAAUGCAUUGCAUACAAGGCGUGUGUACAGUGCCAGGUGUUUGAAACUGGUGAAUUCAACAUCGAGGAGUGCAAAGCCAACUGUACUACUUUCAACUCCACUCCUGUACCAGUAGCUGAAGCUGUGUGGCACUGACUUCAAGUGCCUGGACUUUAAGGAGUGUGUACAGUGUCGUGUUUACGAGACGGGCCCUUUGGCGGAAGAUCCAGUGCUCUGUGAUAGCUGCUCCCUCCUCUACAGCACCAUUACAGACCGAGCCAUUGCCAACUAUACUAUUAAUGUUACUAACUGGGUUGAAGUUGAAAACGAAGGAGAGCGUCUGUGCACCUUCUUUGACGAGAACGAUUGCCGCUUCACCUUUGUUUAUGGAUAUGAUGAGAAUAA
Molecule: non-coding RNA, 687 nt
Organism: Penaeus vannamei (Pacific white shrimp)
Lineage: Eukaryota; Metazoa; Arthropoda; Malacostraca; Decapoda; Penaeidae
Source: RefSeq, a predicted model, not a curated record